Mus musculus (house mouse) is the source of this 698-nucleotide long non-coding RNA. RefSeq annotates it as predicted gene, 33078. Lineage: Eukaryota; Metazoa; Chordata; Mammalia; Rodentia; Muridae. The record is from RefSeq and is a predicted model, not a curated record. The transcript has 4 exons.
AUCUGGACAUGAAGCAGACACUCCUGCAUUCCCUACUAGGGCUGUAAAGAGAGGGCCUUUCCACGUAAGCAGGCCAUAGCUGCUGUGACCUUGUGACUCACACAGACCAUACACAGUGAUUCAGCUCCAUCUCUGUGGCUAAACGGCACCCACAGGCAAAACCACAAGCCAAGGCACGUCCCCGUGGUAACCUUGCCCUCAGCAACAGACCAGGAAUAGACGUGUCAUCUCCCACCCCCUCCCCCGACCUCCCCCAUACUCCUGUUUAGGAGUCAGGCUUCCUGGAAUCCCAGCUCCCUGCUUCCGCAUCUGUGCAGCCUCCACAGCAGAUGGCAUUGUGUGAACCUCAUCUGGAAGGAAGGAAACGUGCUGCUGUAGAGGUCCUCAUCUUCCUGCAGCCCUGCCCUGGAACGCUGUGGUAUGUCCCUGCCCCGGGAAAACUGUGACCCUCAAACCACUUUCCUGCCCAGCAGGGUGGGAUGUCACUAUGAUGAGUCAGCUCAUGCCCGAGAUAGCAUCUGUACACCUCCUCCAGCUAGGGGCGCAGGCAGGAAGCCUCAGCUCCUUACAGUUCAGGUCUGUGCGUGCUCCAAGCUGGAUUGACAACUACUGACCUCGCCCCUUCCUACAGGACAGCCUCUUUCUGAAACAGUUUAGGGAACUGAAGAGAUGGCUCAACGGUUAAGAGCACUGACUCC